CCUACGGGAGGCAGCAGUGGGGAAUUUUGGACAAUGGGGGAAACCCUGAUCCAGCCAUGCCGCGUGAGUGAAGAAGGCCUUCGGGUUGUAAAGCUCUUUCAGUCGGAAAGAAAAGGCUCCGGAUAAUACCUGGAGUUGAUGACGGUACCGACAGAAGAAGCACCGGCUAACUACGUGCCAGCAGCCGCGGUAAUACGUAGGGUGCGAGCGUUAAUCGGAAUUACUGGGCGUAAAGCGUGCGCAGGCGGUUGCAUAAGACAGAUGUGAAAUCCCCGGGCUCAACCUGGGAACUGCGUUUGUGACUGUGCGACUGGAGUACGGUAGAGGGGGGUGGAAUUCCUGGUGUAGCAGUGAAAUGCGUAGAUAUCAGGAGGAACAUCGAUGGCGAAGGCAGCCCCCUGGACCUGUACUGACGCUCAUGCACGAAAGCGUGGGGAGCAAACAGGAUUAGAUACCCUGGUAGUCCACGCCCUAAACGAUGUCGACUAGUUGUUCGGGAAGGUGACUUCUUGAGUAACGUAGCUAACGCGUGAAGUCGACCGCCUGGGGAGUACGGCCGCAAGGUUAAAACUCAAAGGAAUUGACGG
RNAcentral lists this ribosomal RNA (587 nucleotides) under uncultured beta proteobacterium. Its description in RNAcentral is "bacterial SSU rRNA". It matches the Rfam family "Bacterial small subunit ribosomal RNA", at positions 338 to 916 of the family's 1533-position model. The record is from RNAcentral. Lineage: Bacteria; Pseudomonadati; Pseudomonadota; Betaproteobacteria.